GAUGAAGAACGUAGCGAAAUGCGAUAAGUAAUGUGAAUUGCAGAAUUCCGUGAAUCAUCGAAUCUUUGAACGCACAUUGCGCCCGCUAGUAUUCUGGCGGGCAUGCCUGUUCGAGCGUCAUUUCAACCAUCAAGCCCCAGGCUUGUGUUGGGGGCCUGCGGCUGCCGCAGCCCCUGAAAAGCAGUGGCGGGCUCGCUGUCAUUCCGAGCGCAGUAGUUACAUCUCGCUCCGGGCGUGGCGGUGGGCACCUGCCGUGAAACACUCCUUCUAAGGUUGACCUCGGAUCAGGUAGGAAUACCCGCUGAACUUAAGCAUAUCAAUAAGCGGAGGA
This 331-nucleotide unclassified non-coding RNA is filed under the name soil metagenome. RNAcentral's name for it is "partial contains 5.8S ribosomal RNA, internal transcribed spacer 2, and large subunit ribosomal RNA". The stretch from base 1 to 120 matches the Rfam family "5.8S ribosomal RNA", at positions 35 to 154 of the family's 154-position model. The record is from RNAcentral.